This 985-nucleotide ribosomal RNA is filed under the name Bacillus pumilus. Its description in RNAcentral is "bacterial SSU rRNA". It matches the Rfam family "Bacterial small subunit ribosomal RNA", at positions 253 to 1231 of the family's 1533-position model. Lineage: Bacteria; Bacillati; Bacillota; Bacilli; Caryophanales; Bacillaceae. The record is from RNAcentral.
UGAGGUAACGGCUCACCAAGGCGACGAUGCGUAGCCGACCUGAGAGGGUGAUCGGCCACACUGGGACUGAGACACGGCCCAGACUCCUACGGGAGGCAGCAGUAGGGAAUCUUCCGCAAUGGACGAAAGUCUGACGGAGCAACGCCGCGUGAGUGAUGAAGGUUUUCGGAUCGUAAAGCUCUGUUGUUAGGGAAGAACAAGUGCAAGAGUAACUGCUUGCACCUUGACGGUACCUAACCAGAAAGCCACGGCUAACUACGUGCCAGCAGCCGCGGUAAUACGUAGGUGGCAAGCGUUGUCCGGAAUUAUUGGGCGUAAAGGGCUCGCAGGCGGUUUCUUAAGUCUGAUGUGAAAGCCCCCGGCUCAACCGGGGAGGGUCAUUGGAAACUGGGAAACUUGAGUGCAGAAGAGGAGAGUGGAAUUCCACGUGUAGCGGUGAAAUGCGUAGAGAUGUGGAGGAACACCAGUGGCGAAGGCGACUCUCUGGUCUGUAACUGACGCUGAGGAGCGAAAGCGUGGGGAGCGAACAGGAUUAGAUACCCUGGUAGUCCACGCCGUAAACGAUGAGUGCUAAGUGUUAGGGGGUUUCCGCCCCUUAGUGCUGCAGCUAACGCAUUAAGCACUCCGCCUGGGGAGUACGGUCGCAAGACUGAAACUCAAAGGAAUUGACGGGGGCCCGCACAAGCGGUGGAGCAUGUGGUUUAAUUCGAAGCAACGCGAAGAACCUUACCAGGUCUUGACAUCCUCUGACAACCCUAGAGAUAGGGCUUUCCCUUCGGGGACAGAGUGACAGGUGGUGCAUGGUUGUCGUCAGCUCGUGUCGUGAGAUGUUGGGUUAAGUCCCGCAACGAGCGCAACCCUUGAUCUUAGUUGCCAGCAUUCAGUUGGGCACUCUAAGGUGACUGCCGGUGACAAACCGGAGGAAGGUGGGGAUGACGUCAAAUCAUCAUGCCCCUUAUGACCUGGGCUACACACGUGCUACAAU